ACAGUUCUAAAACAAUAAAGAAACUUCCAUAAAACAAAAAUAUUAAAAAUAAAAAUAUAAUGUUUGAUUUCCGAAAUAAACAAGCAAUACCAGGACUGAAUCGGGAUGGGCUUUAAAUUCUAACCUCGGCUCAAAAGCAGUUCACUUUCAGCAUCACCCCGCAGAUCAUAUGCAAAAUAGCAACCUAAGACAACAAGAUAUUAGGGAUUCUGACCUAAUGCAAAGGGCAAAACAUAAUUCACAUAAAAUUGAGAAAUUAACUAGAAAAAUACAAGAAAUGCUUAGUAUUUUAUCUAAAUUUAAAGGGUUUUUCUGGUCCAGGGAAAAAUUUACUGGGUCAGAGGAACUUUUUCUGCAAUUUUUGCAAAGCAAUGAAAAAUGGAAAUCAAAUUUCAUAUUUUUAAUUUUUUAUUGUUUGAUUGGCCAAAUUUUUACUUGAAUUCGAAUUUCAGCUUUUAGGCCACCUAAAC
Molecule: long non-coding RNA, 470 nt
Filed under: Olea europaea subsp. europaea
Lineage: Eukaryota; Viridiplantae; Streptophyta; Magnoliopsida; Lamiales; Oleaceae
Source: RNAcentral